Molecule: long non-coding RNA, 1181 nt
Filed under: Lynx canadensis (Canada lynx)
Lineage: Eukaryota; Metazoa; Chordata; Mammalia; Carnivora; Felidae
Description: lncRNA (ENSLCNG00005015551.1)
Source: RNAcentral
GGAAAAUAUCGAGAGGAACGGGGACCCCGAGAAGGGACCUAGUCUUACCUGGGCCCCGGUUGUCGGGAGCGUGGACUCCAUCUCGGGGUGGGGGUGGGGGAGGGGAAUGCUUUCCUCAAGUCGACACACUGACUUCGGGACAGAUCUGGGAGGAGAGAGAAUAAUCCCCCGAGGGGCCAAUUGGCUGCACUCCCAGGGCUCCCUCGCUUUUCCAACCCCUUUAAAACCUGAGCCGACCGCUCUUCGUGGCUCAGCCUCGGAGGGGCCGAUCCCGGGCCGGCCAGGUGCCACCUACCGCUGAGAGACUAACGAUCCUAGACAAUCUCCCGUACCCGGAGAGAAGAGCAGGAGAGGCCGACGCCCCACUGCCUCUCCAGACCUAGAGCCCGAGGCACUGCUAGAUUCCCACGCUCCUUUACGUGGGAGCUGCCGGGAAAGCCUCCGGAAACGGCACGCCCCCUUGCGUUUUCGAAACUCUGCCCUGUGAUUGGCCAUCGCUGCCUCCGAAGGGGCAGUCCUUCUCGUGUGUUGACCAAUCGAGCCCGCUAAGGGACAGCUCUCUCACGGAGCGUGCUGGGAAAUGUGGUUUUUCAUCCAUCUCUCGAAGCAAGUAUUUCCGGAUCCGCUUCCUGGGUCUCCGGGGUGAGCUCCUGCCCGCUUACCUGCAGGCAGGUAAGUGACUAGGUAGGGUGUGAAGAGAUAGGGUGAUCCCAGAGCGACGUAACGUUUCAGGGAAUAAAGAAAGCAAGACCGGGAGACUCCAGAACCCGAAAGACUGUCGGCCCUGAAAUGUGGGUUCGAGCGGCAGUGUCCCCUGUGGAUCCGAAACGUCGGUGCGGACCGGGUGAAGAAUGGAAGAUCCUUUGUAAAAUAAAUAGGGGCACCUGGGUGACCUCGAUGGCUCAGUCGGUUAAGUGUCUGACUCUUGAUUUCGGUUCAGGUUAUGAUCUCACAAGUCCUGAGAUGGAUCCCUGCGUCGGGCUCUGGCUGAUAGUGUGGAGCCUACUCGGGAUUCUCUUUCUCCCUUUCUCUGUCCCUCCCCUGCUCGGGAACAUGAGCUCUCCCUCAAAAUAAACUUAAAACUUUCUUAAAAUAAAUAAAAUACAAAAAUAAAAAGAGUUGUUAGCAACUCAUGACCCCUGAUCUGAACUUCAGCCUGUCUCACGGGCUCUCUUCCUGCU